RNAcentral lists this long non-coding RNA (69 nucleotides) under Junco hyemalis (dark-eyed junco). RNAcentral's name for it is "lncRNA (ENSJHYG00000018446.1)". Lineage: Eukaryota; Metazoa; Chordata; Aves; Passeriformes; Passerellidae. The record is from RNAcentral.
AUUUUUUUGGACCACCGCGGGGCAUUUUUAUCUACAGAGUUGUGUCAGCGAUUUCUGAGGUAAGAGGCA